GGACCCGUGGCCCAAUUGGCAAGGCGUUUGACUACGAUUAUCAUAUCAAAAGAUUGUGGGUUCGAAUCCCAUCGGGUUCA
Non-coding RNA from Onygenales sp. PD_12, 80 nucleotides. The record is from the annotation of a GenBank genome assembly. Lineage: Eukaryota; Fungi; Ascomycota; Eurotiomycetes; Onygenales.